CGGGUGAGUAACGCGUAGGAACCCGCCUCGACGGUGGGGGAUAACACUUGGAAACAGGUGCUAAUACCGCAUGUGGUCGAGAGAAGAAGGCUUGAGCAAUCAAGUCGCGUUGAGGAGGGCCUGCGUCCGAUUAGCUAGUUGGUGGGGUAAAGGCUUACCAAGGCGACGAUCGGUAGCUGGUCUGAGAGGAUGAUCAGCCACACUGGGACUGAGACACGGCCCAG
RNAcentral lists this ribosomal RNA (224 nucleotides) under uncultured bacterium. Its description in RNAcentral is "partial 16S ribosomal RNA". It matches the Rfam family "Bacterial small subunit ribosomal RNA", at positions 103 to 334 of the family's 1533-position model. The record is from RNAcentral.